UCAGCUUGUUGGUGGGGUAAUGGCCUACCAAGGCGACGACGGGUAGCCGGCCUGAGAGGGUGACCGGCCACACUGGGACUGAGAUACGGCCCAGACUCCUACGGGAGGCAGCAGUGGGGAAUAUUGCACAAUGGGCGCAAGCCUGAUGCAGCGACGCCGCGUGAGGGAUGACGGCCUUCGGGUUGUAAACCUCUUUCAAUAGGGACGAAGCGCAAGUGACGGUACCUAUAGAAGAAGGACCGGCCAACUACGUGCCAGCAGCCGCGGUAAUACGUAGGGUCCGAGCGUUGUCCGGAAUUACUGGGCGUAAAGAGCUCGUAGGUGGUUUGUCGCGUUGUUCGUGAAAACUCACAGCUUAACUGUGGGCGUGCGGGCGAUACGGGCAGACUAGAGUACUGCAGGGGAGACUGGAAUUCCUGGUGUAGCGGUGGAAUGCGCAGAUAUCAGGAGGAACACCGGUGGCGAAGGCGGGUCUCUGGGCAGUAACUGACGCUGAGGAGCGAAAGCGUGGGGAGCGAACAGGAUUAGAUACCCUGGUAGUCCACGCCGUAAACGGUGGGUACUAGGUGUGGGUUUCCUUCCUUGGGAUCCG
This 592-nucleotide ribosomal RNA is filed under the name Mycobacterium sp. RNAcentral describes it as "bacterial SSU rRNA". It matches the Rfam family "Bacterial small subunit ribosomal RNA", at positions 241 to 843 of the family's 1533-position model. Lineage: Bacteria; Bacillati; Actinomycetota; Actinomycetes; Mycobacteriales; Mycobacteriaceae. The record is from RNAcentral.